Molecule: non-coding RNA, 67 nt
Organism: Potamilus streckersoni
Lineage: Eukaryota; Metazoa; Mollusca; Bivalvia; Unionida; Unionidae
Source: the annotation of a GenBank genome assembly
GGUUGCCUAGUGAUAGAGCAUCUGCCUCAGAAGCAGAUGGUAAUGGGUUUGAACCCCAGCAGAGUCA